Molecule: unclassified non-coding RNA, 332 nt
Filed under: soil metagenome
Description: partial contains 5.8S ribosomal RNA, internal transcribed spacer 2, and large subunit ribosomal RNA
Rfam family: 5.8S ribosomal RNA (bases 1-120)
Source: RNAcentral
GAUGAAGAACGUAGCGAAAUGCGAUAAGUAGUGUGAAUUGCAGAAUUCAGUGAAUCAUCGAAUCUUUGAACGCACAUUGCGCCCUUUGGUAUUCCUUAGGGUAUGCCUGUUCGAGCGUCAUUUAAACCUUCAAGCUAAGCUUGGUGUUGGGUGACUGUCCGCUUCACUGCGGACUCGCCUCAAAAUUAUUGGCGGCCGGUACAUUGGCUUCGAGCGCAGCAGAAACGCGAACUCGGGCCCGUCGUAUUGGCUCCCAGAAGCUAUCUUCACAAUUUUGACCUCGGAUCAGGUAGGGAUACCCGCUGAACUUAAGCAUAUCAAUAAGCGGAGGA